GAUGAACGCUGGCGGCGUGCCUAAUACAUGCAAGUCGAGCGAACAGACGAGGAGCUUGCUCCUUCGACGUUAGCGGCGGACGGGUGAGUAACACGUAGGUAACCGACCUAUAAGACUGGGAUAACUUCGGGAAACCGGAGCUAAUAUCGGAUAAUAUUUCGAACCGCAUGGUUCGAUAGUGAAAGAUGGCUUUGCUAUCACUUAUAGAUGGACCUGCGCCGUAUUAGCUAGUUGGUAAGGUAACGGCUUACCAAGGCAACGAUACGUAGCCGACCUGAGCGCGUGGUCGGCCACACUGGAACUAAGGCACGGUUCAGACUCCUACGGGAGGCAGCAGUAGGGAAUCAACCGAGAUGGGCGAAAGCCUGACGGAGCAACGCCGCGUGGAUGAUGAAGGUCUUCGUAUCGUAAAACUCUGUUAUUAGGGAAGAACAAACGUGUAAGUAACUGUGCACGUCUUGACGGUACCUAAUCAGAGAGGCACGGCUAACUACAUG
Molecule: ribosomal RNA, 497 nt
Filed under: uncultured bacterium
Lineage: Bacteria
Description: partial 16S ribosomal RNA
Rfam family: Bacterial small subunit ribosomal RNA
Source: RNAcentral